Molecule: long non-coding RNA, 6544 nt
Filed under: Sus scrofa (pig)
Lineage: Eukaryota; Metazoa; Chordata; Mammalia; Artiodactyla; Suidae
Description: lncRNA (ENSSSCG00035029148.1)
Source: RNAcentral
UAGGGUUUGAGACCGCCAAAUCUUUUGCCCUCCAUGGAGCACACGUGAUCCUGGCCUGUAGGAAUAUGACGAGAGCCAACGAAGCUGUGUCGCGCAUUUUAGGAGAAUGGGUGUUCCAUCCCACAACCCCAGCGCAUCCCGCCAGCCCCCGAACUGUCUCCUUUGGAAACCAUGAAUUUUUCAAAGUCUGUGAGUCAGUAUCUGUUCUGCAAAGAAGUUAAUUGUGUCCUUUUUUCAGAUUCCACAUGUCAGUGAAAGCAUUUGAUGUUGGCGUCUCAUUGUCUGACUUACUUCCCUUAGCAUGAUAAUUUCUAGGUCCAUCCAUGUUGCUAAAAAUGCCAGUAUUUCAUUCCUUUUAAUGGCUGAGUAAUAUUCCAUUGUGUAUACGUACCACAUCUUCUUGAUCCACUCCUCUCUUGAUGGACAUUUAGGUUGUUUCCAUGUCUUGGCCAUUGUAAAUAGUGCUGCAGUGAACAUUGGAGUACGUGUCUUUGCGAGCCAUGGUUUUCUCUGGGUAGAUGCCCAGGAGUGGGAUUGCUGGAUCAAAUGGUAGUUCUGUUUUUAGAUUUGUGAGGCCUCUCCGUACUGUUUUCCACAGUGGUUGCGCCAACUUACAAUCCCACCAGCAGUGUACUAGGGUUCCUUUUCCUCCACACCCUCUCUAGCACUUAUUGUUUGUAGACUUUUUGAUGAUGACCAUUCUGGCUGGUGUAAGGUGGUUAUUUUAUUUUAUUUUUUAAUUUCACUGAAAUUUAUUUCAGACUUCUGGGUUCCUGAACUAGAAGAAAAUAAAUGUUUUUUUUUUUUUUUUUUUUUUUUUAAUUUCCCCAAUACAUUAUUAUUGGAAUUUUUUCUACUGUACGGCAUGGUGACCCAGUUACACAUACAUGGAGGUACCUCAGAAAGCUACACAUAGAACUACCAUAUGACCCGGCAGUCCCACUCUUAGGUGUAUAUCCGGACAAAACUUUCCUUAAAAAAGACAUGCACCCAUCAUUGCUUUUAAAGCGCCCUCCAAAGUGAGAAAACCAGAAGAUUCAUUAAUUUAGCUGUUUGCUUGUAAAUAGGGAUCUGCCUCGCAUUUGGAAAAUUGGAAAAGCUCUCCUUUGAACUCAUUUCGUUCCACCUGCCUGUGUUGUUUGGUGUUUCCCAGACAAAUUGGACGUACCUGCCGCAGAUGCCGGUUUUGUAGUAAUAAUACUUUUCUGCAUUAGAAAAAAAACCCUGAAAUGAAAAUGUACCUUGGUCUGAUUAUUGUAAUCUCCCCUUGCCUUUUUUGCAUGGAUCAUUUGUUUGUGAACUGGUUAUUGCAGGAAGGGCUCAAAGGUAAUUUCAUGGUUUAUAGCAUUUAUAUUGGCGCCUUUAAUGAGCAAAACAUAUUGUUUUCUAAUACACAAAACGAGGAAUUCACAUAUAUAUAUUCCAUUUCCUAAUAAUACACGUAUAUCAAGUUUAAGACAUGGAGAACAACCAUGUAAAGAAAUUAUACUUCUGUACACAGGGGAAAUAUGCAAGUUUUGUGAUGCAAAAAAAUAAUAAAAAAAUAAAAAUCAACAUAUGCAGGCUUCUGAGAUGAUUUUAUUUCUAAUGCAUCCAGAUGAUAGCAGGGAGCUGCUGUUGCAUUUGGGUCUCGUACAGCAAUUCAUAUCUAAAAAUAUGGUAACAUAUGGCUUUGUUAUUAUUUAGUUUAGGAAUUUAUGCACCUAAAGGAGUUUGGAGAGCUCUGGGUCUCAUUCAGAUGUUGUGCACGGCAACUGAACGAGACAGGCUGGAGCACGGAGUCCCUCCACUCCGGGUUAUCAAGAUCUGACCGCUUCACUUUUUUUGUGGGUGGUGGUGUCGUUUAAACUCAAGAACUUUUUUGCGUAUUUGCUAAUGGUUCCCUUCCCUCUUUCUUAGGACUGUGUUUGCGAAGGCCAAAUUGGUGAAAUCUUUUGGGUCUAAUAAAAAUAUGGCCGGGGCUGGAAAAGGGACCAGCUGCUUUUUCUAGACCUCGAGCGAGGUGGCUUCCCGGCCUCCCGGUUCAUUUGAUGUCCCGGGCAGUCCUUGACACCCACCCAGCCCCGUCACAAGACUUUUCCCUCCCGUCCAGAUUGUGUUUGUUUUACGGCUCUCGCACGGAGCCUGCAGCUGUGUAAACCCGGGGCUGGUUUCUGCGCGCCUUUGAUCUUUGCAAGGAUCAACAGUUGCCCUCGGUCCCUGAACCCUGUUCCACGGCCCCGUCCUUCUUGGAUUUUUCCACUCUCUGGUCCUUAUGGCAUUGCAUGGGGAGCCUUCCAAGAGCAUCGCCCAUGACUUUGGGGGAGGAGUGGGGAAGAGGCACCUCCAGUCUGUCAUUUCUAAGACCUGAUUAAGAAGCGAUUUCCAUCUGAUGCCCAAAAGAUACACCAUUUAGUUUCCUCCUGAGAGGAAACCUGACAAUGUCAAAUAGACUGUGAGAGGGUCUGAGGAACCUGAACAUAUUAUGGAUUAAAUACAUGUUUAUGGAGCAAGUGCAUUGUAGGGUUUUCUUUGUAGUUUUUUUUUUUUUUUUUUUUUUUUUUUUUUUUUUUUUUUAAACGCCUGAAAAAUUCAGUCCUUCUCUAAACCAGAGCCUCAUACCGCUGUUGGCAAUAGGCUCUUGGCUGAUGGAGUGUGGUGUUAUUUUUCAUUUAGUAAACUGGGUGCCUAUGCAUAAGGCAUACGAAAGCCAUGUCUCCUGUGCUUACUUCCUAGACUUGGUUUUAAAAGCUUCACGAAAGAUACAAGGAAGCUAUGUAUGGGUUCUGGAGAAAGAGCCCUCAUUUCCAUAUGGGGCAAUCACGAAUGGCUUACAGAGCUGUACCAUAAUACCCGGGGAAGGAUGCUGAGCCAAGAGAUGAGAAGGGGUCUUCCCAGGCCAAAAGAAGAGCACCCAAGGCCAAGCCGACUCCUGAUUCAGAUCCACUUGAGCUUAAAUCCUGGCUCCAUCCCUUACUGUUUCUGUGACCUGGGGACUUUGUUCAGGUUUCUCACCCAUAACAGGGGAUUAAUAAUAGUCUCUUCCUUUGAGAUGAGAAUUAGACAGAGACCAUGCCUGUGAAUUGUUGAGCACUGUCCCUGGGACGUAGUCUGCAGGCAGUAGCGGUUAGCAUCUCUUCCUGCUGCACUGCAGCUCUUCGUUUUUUUCCCCUAUCCUUCCUGCUCCUCGACUUUUUGAUAAAGUUUUACACCAGAAAAGAUGAGCUGUGUCACCGCCAGCCUUCUCAUAUGACAGGAGCCUGGGAGAUGUGUGGGGGAGUAUUCCUAGAUUUGGUUAAAUAAGUGAGUCUUCGCGAUCUGGGAGUGGGUGGAGCCACAUCCUUGUCAGUGGCCCCAGAUCGCAGAAGAAGAAUCUCUGAAAAAAGGCGCUCACGCGGAGGAUUCUGAACCCGGGAUGAAGCUCACUUGGUGACACAGAGUGACACGGUUGAUUGACAGAGCCAGCUGCCUCCUUGUUCUGUAAUUCCAGGAGGGGUACCUUCUCGCCCUUGGAGUCUUAGGUAGGCACACGACCUUGAUGGCGUGAAGGCAGUGAACACAGAUUGCCUCCUCCUGUUAAUAGAUACAACCAAGAAGAAAGAACGCUUGGCCUGGACGCGUAAAGCGACACCUACAGUUUAUAGUGUUACUCUAGUAUUUUCAACAUCUCCUGAGCUGUGGGUGGAAAUCCCAUUUCUCUCUUUCCCUCCUUCCUUCCUUCCUUCCUUCCUGCCUUCCUCUCUCUCUCCCCCUUCCUUUCUUCCUUCCUUUCUUCCUUCCUUCCUUUCUCUCUUCCUUUCUCUCUUUCUUUCAUCUUUUUAGGGUCACACUGCAGCAUACGGAGCUUCCCAGGCUAGGGGUCCAAUCAGAGGUACAGCUGCCGGCCUACGCCACAGCAAUGUGGCAUCUGAGCUGCAUCCGGGACCUACACCACAGCUCACAGCAGCGCCGGAUCCUUAACCCACCGAACGAGGCCAGGGAUCGAACAGGCAUCCUCGUGGAUGCUAGUCAGAUUCGCUUCCGCUGAGCCAUGAUGGGAACUCCAGAAAUCCCAUUUCUUAUCAAGCUGACCCGCAGUGUUACAUCUAGGAACGUGGGCUAAGAUGCAGGUCAGCUUGUCUCCACUGCUGCCUGGCGAGAUUUGGCGGGAGCCGUCUUACAGAGUCCAGGAGAGAAGUAAAAGUCCUGGCCGUGGUAUUGCUUCCUCUGUAGGGGCUGCCUAUGAGGGAAGCUGCAAAAUUCAGAUGGUCCCAUCACUUCAAAGGGACGGUGGUUAAGACAGAAGGAACUGAGUAGAAGUUAGGGGAGAGCUUAAUUUUUUCCAGUAGCCAUCAUGAAGUCUCUGUUUGCUUUUUGGAAAAUGUGAUUUAAUCUUUGAGAAAGCAGUGUACCUUUAGGAGUAAUUUUCUGGGUAGGCUUCCCAGCUUUCCUUCUUCGGACAUCCCCAAACAGUUCUUCGUGCAGUGCCAUGCCUCCCAGCUUAACUUUUUCAGGAAAUGAUUCAUGACUUUAUAAUUUCAAUUCACUAACCCUUUUCAGCCGUGCAAUAAAUUUAAAUCCUUUACUAUCAAGAUAACAUUUUUUCUCCUGUCACUGUGAUAAAAUGAUUGGAAACCACUUUUAGAAGUUGACCCUUUGGGGGACAGCUCUUAAGGGGUUGUCCUUUACACCAGCACAUCCCUUGUAGGUGCCAGUGUUUCCAUGGCAGGGGCCCCCGAGCUGCAGAGCAAGUGCCCAGGGUAACGCCCUUUACAGCAGGAUGAUAAAGAGUUCACUGGGACAUGGGCAAGGGGAGUCUGUGUAUUCGAAGCGUGUGGUUCUGAGAAAACCACAUCCUUUCCCAGAAUAAAGGAUGGAUGAGAAAGGCGUUGCUAAGGCAUGUUUCACCCCCUGAAAAUCGGCCAUGAGUCAGGCAAGGGCAGUCAGCUCAGUGGUCCAGGGCCUCGUAGAGAGGAAUCCUGGGGUGACUGACGUGCCCCGUGACUGCGGGGCAGUCACUGAGCCUUUUGGAGCCUCAGUUCCCUCCUCAUGUUUUAAAAAGGGUGUUUUCAUUUGUGCGUUUGUUUGUUUUUCCUACUGUACAGCGUGGUGACACAGACAUGUAUACAUUCUUCUCCCAUUAUCAGGCUCCGUCAUAAAUGAGUAGACAUGGUUCCCAGUGCUACACGGCAGCAUCUCAUUGCUAAUCCACUCCAAAGGCAAUAGUCUGCAUCUGUUAACCCCAAGCUCCCAUCCUUCCCACUCCCUCCCCCUCCCCCUCGGCAACCACAAGUCUGUUCUCCAAGUCCAUGAUUUUUUUUUCUGUGGAAAAGUUCCUUUGUGCCGUAUAUUAAAUAGCAUAUUGGGGAAAUAAAAAAAAAACCCACAGAAAUCAAAUAUAACAAAAAAAAUUCUACUUUCAUUAUUAUCAAAAAAUAAAUAAAAAGGGUGUUUUGCAAAAGGUCAAUUAAAACACUGUGAAGUUCUGAAAAUAACAGGUUUCUUUUUGUUACAAAAAAUAUUGAACAUACAGAAAAUUCAAAGACUACUUUAACAGUACAGGAAAUAACCAUAUACCCACCAUCUGGGUUCAAAAAUUACUAAUUUAUUACCAUGUUUUAUUAGUUUGUCUGUCCAUCCACCCACCCAUCCAUUUGUCUGUCCGUCUGUCCAUUCAUCUGUCCAUCCAUCUGUACAUCUAAGCUGUGGAUACUGAUACCCUUCCCGUCUAUGACUUGGACAGGCCUCUCCUCCAACUAGACUGUGUUCUGCUUAAUCCCAUUUGUCAGUAGUAUCAUGUCUGUGAAAUUGACAGUAAGUCACUAACGCCAAAGAAUGCACAGUCUGUAGCCAGAGGUACCCUCUCGUCCUCAAACUGUCUUUCGCAGUUUUUGUUUUCAGUCAGUCUGCAACCAACCAAGGUUCACACAUAAUAUUUGGCAUGACGUCUUUUUAGUCUGUUUCAGUGGAGAGGGUAUUUAGGGGUAGGAGUAGGGGUCCUAGGAUGGUUCCUGGCUGGUUCCUGUGGAUACUGCCAACUUCCUUGGUCACUAACAAGGCUUUUAUUUUUCAGUACUUUUUGGUUAUCAAGGAAACUUUUUUUUUUUUUUUUUGUCUUUUUGCUAUUUCUUGGGCUGCUCCCGCGGCAUAUGGAGGUUCCCAGGCUAGGGGUUGAAUCGGAGCUGUAGCCACCGGCCUACGCCAGAGCCACAGCAACUCAGGAUCCGAGCCGCGUCUGCGACCUACACCACAGCUCACGGCAACGCCGGAUCGUUAACCCACUGAGCAAGGGCAGGGACUGAGCCCGCAACCUCAUGGUUCCUAGUUGGAUUCGUUAACCACUGCGCCACGACGGGAACUCCAAGGAAACUUUUUGUACAUUUUGUUUUACUUCUGUAAAUCUGGUUUCAACUUCCAGCCCAGCUCAGACCGACCGUGAGCAUUUCCUUUGGUGAAACUUGGAAAGAGGAAAAAAAAAAUCUGUUAAUCAGGGUUCUUGAAGUGCAGUGUUUAUCUCAGGGGGAAUAAGUCUCCCCCAAGGGCUCUUGCCACAGCCAGUAAGACCAGAAAAAAAAGAAAAAAAAAA